UACGUAGGUGGCAAGCGUUGUCCGGAAUUUAUUGGGCGUAAAGCGCGCGCAGGCGGCCUCUUAAGUCUGAUGUGAAAGCCCCCGGCUCAACCGGGGAGGGCCAUUGGAAACUGGGAGGCUUGAGUAUAGGAGAGAAGAGUGGAAUUCCACGUGUAGCGGUGAAAUGCGUAGAGAUGUGGAGGAACACCAGUGGCGAAGGCGACUCUUUGGCCUAUAACUGACGCUGAGGCGCGAAAGCGUGGGGAGCAAACAGG
RNAcentral lists this ribosomal RNA (254 nucleotides) under uncultured bacterium. RNAcentral describes it as "partial 16S ribosomal RNA". It matches the Rfam family "Bacterial small subunit ribosomal RNA", at positions 524 to 776 of the family's 1533-position model. The record is from RNAcentral.